RNAcentral lists this ribosomal RNA (111 nucleotides) under Labrus bergylta (ballan wrasse). The record is from RNAcentral. Lineage: Eukaryota; Metazoa; Chordata; Actinopteri; Labriformes; Labridae.
GCUUACGGCCAUACCACCCUGAACACGCCCGAUCUCGUCCGAUCUCGAAGCUAAGCAGGUCGGCCUGGUUAUACUGGAGGGAACCGCCUGGGAAUACCAGUGCUGUAAGCU